Molecule: non-coding RNA, 46 nt
Filed under: Schistosoma margrebowiei
Lineage: Eukaryota; Metazoa; Platyhelminthes; Trematoda; Strigeidida; Schistosomatidae
Source: RNAcentral
GCACUGCUGAGGAGUCCCAUACCAGGACGAAACUUCCGUCCAGUGC